UACGAAGGGGGCUAGCGUUGUUCGGAUUUACUGGGCGUAAAGCGCACGUAGGCGGAUCGUUAAGUCGGGGGUGAAAUCCUGGAGCUCAACUCCAGAACUGCCUUCGAUACUGGCGAUCUUGAGUCCGGGAGAGGUGAGUGGAACUCCGAGUGUAGAGGUGAAAUUCGUAGAUAUUCGGAAGAACACCAGUGGCGAAGGCGGCUCACUGGCCCGGUACUGACGCUGAUGUGCGAAAGCGUGGGGAGCAAACAGG
Molecule: ribosomal RNA, 253 nt
Filed under: uncultured bacterium
Lineage: Bacteria
Description: partial 16S ribosomal RNA
Rfam family: Bacterial small subunit ribosomal RNA
Source: RNAcentral